GACGAACGCUGGCGGCGUGCUUAACACAUGCAAGUCGAGCGGUAAGGCCCUUUCGGGGGUACACGAGCGGCGAACGGGUGAGUAACACGUGGGUGACCUGCCCUCAGCUCUGGGAUAAGCCCGGGAAACUGGGUCUAAUACCGGAUAUGACUCCAUGACGCAUGUUGUGGGGUGGAAAGCCUUGUGCGGCUGAGGAUGGGCCCGCGGCCUAUCAGCUUGUUGGUGGGGUGAUGGCCUACCAAGGCGACGACGGGUAGCCGGCCUGAGAGGGCGACCGGCCACACUGGGACUGAGAUACGGCCCGGACUCCUACGGGAGGCAGCAGUGGGGAAUCUUGCGCAAUGGGCGAAAGCCUGACGCAGCGACGCCGCGUGAGGGAUGACGGCCU
This 388-nucleotide ribosomal RNA is filed under the name uncultured bacterium. RNAcentral describes it as "bacterial SSU rRNA". It matches the Rfam family "Bacterial small subunit ribosomal RNA", at positions 28 to 417 of the family's 1533-position model. The record is from RNAcentral.